Molecule: ribosomal RNA, 254 nt
Filed under: uncultured bacterium
Lineage: Bacteria
Description: partial 16S ribosomal RNA
Rfam family: Bacterial small subunit ribosomal RNA
Source: RNAcentral
ACGGGUGAGUAACGCGUGAGUAACCUGCCUUCAAGAGGGGGAUAACAUUCUGAAAAGAAUGCUAAUACCGCAUGACAUAUCGGAACCACAUGGUUUUGAUAUCAAAGAUUUUAUCGCUUGAAGAUGGACUCGCGUCCGAUUAGUUAGUUGGUGAGGUAAUGGCCCACCAAGGCGACGAUCGGUAGCCGGACUGAGAGGUUGAACGGCCACAUUGGGACUGAGACACGGCCCAGACUCCUACGGGAGGCAGCAUG